Molecule: non-coding RNA, 937 nt
Filed under: Minervarya kirtisinghei
Lineage: Eukaryota; Metazoa; Chordata; Amphibia; Anura; Dicroglossidae
Description: partial 12S ribosomal RNA
Rfam family: Bacterial small subunit ribosomal RNA
Source: RNAcentral
GAUGAACCCUAAAAAGUUCUGAAAGCACAAAGGUUUGGUCCUAGCCUUAUUAUCAGUUGUCUCUCAACUUACACAUGCAAGUCUCAGCACCCCCGUGAGGAAGCCCUUAAACCCUACCCCAGGAUAAGGAGCCGGUAUCAGGCUCAACUCUUUGCCCAUGACACCUAGUUUCCACCACGCCCCCAAGGGUAAUCAGCAGUGAUAAACAUUAUUUAUAAGCGACAGCUUGACUUAGUUAGAGAGAACAUAGUUGGCCAAUAUUGGUGCCAGCCGCCGCGGCUAGACCCUAUUGAACUAGAAUUGAUAGUCGUCGGCGUUAAGCGUGAUUAAAGCCAUUCCCACAUUAGAGUAAAACUCCUGCCCAGCUGUAAAAAGCAUGCAUUGCAGAAUCACAUGAACGAAAGUCACUCUAACUUAUGCUUGAACACACGACAGCUAGGAGCACAAACUGGGAUCAGAUACCCCACUAUGCCUAGCCGUAAAUUAUUAACUCACAACCACAAACGCCUGGGAACUACGGGCUUAGCCUAAAACCCAAAGGACUUGACGGUGUCCCACCCGACUAGAGGAGCCUGUUCUAUAAUCGAUAACCCCCGCUAAACCUGACCUCUUUUUGUUUCCAGCCUGUAUACCUCCGUCGUAAAUCUGCCUUGUGAAUGCUUAAUAGCGUGAUUCAAUGCCCUUCCGCCAAAACGUCAGGUCAAGGUGCAGCCUAUAAAGAGGGAAGCAAUGGGCUACAAUUUCUAGCUUAGAACAAACGAACUUACUGCAUGAAACUUAGUUAUGAAGGAGGAUUUAGUAGUAAAGAGAAAUCAACAUGUUCUCUUAAAUAUGGCCCUGGGACACGUACACACCGCCCGUCACCCUCCUCGAAAAUAUAUCUAUUCUGGUUAUCUAACACAAAAUAACAAAUAAAGAGGAGGCAAGUCGUAACAUG